UACAGAGGGUGCGAGCGUUAAGCGGAAUUACUGGGCGUAAAGCGCGCGUAGGCGGCUUUGCAAGUCGGGUGUGAAAUCCCCAGGCUUAACCUGGGAACUGCAUUCGAGACUGCAUUGCUAGAGUAUGGGAGAGGGAAGUGGAAUUUCCGGUGUAGCGGUGAAAUGCGUAGAUAUCGUGAGGAACACCAGAGGCGAAGGCGGUUACCUGGACAGUUACUGACGCUCAGGCACGAAAGCGUGGGGAGCAAAAGGG
RNAcentral lists this ribosomal RNA (253 nucleotides) under uncultured bacterium. RNAcentral describes it as "partial 16S ribosomal RNA". It matches the Rfam family "Bacterial small subunit ribosomal RNA", at positions 524 to 776 of the family's 1533-position model. The record is from RNAcentral.